AAUAGAUACCCAGGUAGUCCACGCCGUAAACGAUGAGUGCUAAGUGUUAGAGGGUUUCCGCCCUUUAGUGCUGCAGCAAACGCAUUAAGCACUCCGCCUGGGGAGUACGGUCGCAAGACUGAAACUCAAAGGAAUUGACGGGGGCCCGCACAAGCGGUGGAGCAUGUGGUUUAAUUCGAAGCAACGCGAAGAACCUUACCAGGUCUUGACAUCCUUAUGCCAUCUCUAGAGAUAGAGCUUUCCCUUCGGGGACAUAAGUGACAGGUGGUGCAUGGUUGUCGUCAGCUCGUGUCGUGAGAUGUUGGGUUAAGUCCCGCAACGAGCGCAACCCUUGAUCUUAGUUGCCAGCAUUCAGUUGGGCACUCUAAGGUGACUGCCGGUGACAAACCGGAGGAAGGUGGGGAUGACGUCAAAUCAUCAUGCCCCUUAUGACCUGGGCUACACACGUGCUACAAUGGAUGGUACAAAGGGCAGCGAAACCGCGAGGUUAAGCCAAUCCCAUAAAACCAUUCUCAGUUCGGAUUGC
This 526-nucleotide ribosomal RNA is filed under the name uncultured bacterium. RNAcentral's name for it is "bacterial SSU rRNA". It matches the Rfam family "Bacterial small subunit ribosomal RNA", at positions 777 to 1301 of the family's 1533-position model. The record is from RNAcentral.